UGGGGAAUAUUGGUCAAUGGGGGAAACCCUGAACCAGCAACGCCGCGUGAAGGAAGAAGGCUUUCGGGUUGUAAACUUCUUUUACCAGGGACGAAAUAAAUGACGGUACCUGGAGAAUAAGCUCCGGCUAACUACGUGCCAGCAGCCGCGGUAAUACGUAGGGAGCUAGCGUUAUCCGGAUUUACUGGGUGUAAAGGGCGCGUAGGCGGGAGAGCAAGUCAGAUGUGAAAUACCGGGGCUCAACCCCGGGGCUGCAUUUGAAACUGUUUUUCUUGAGUGAUGGAGAGGCAAGUGGAAUUCCUAGUGUAGCGGUGAAAUGCGUAGAUAUUAGGAGGAACACCAGUGGCGAAGGCGACUUGCUGGACAUUAACUGACGCUGAGGCGCGAAAGCGUGGGGAGCAAACA
This 405-nucleotide ribosomal RNA is filed under the name uncultured prokaryote. Its description in RNAcentral is "bacterial SSU rRNA". It matches the Rfam family "Bacterial small subunit ribosomal RNA", at positions 355 to 774 of the family's 1533-position model. The record is from RNAcentral.